Molecule: long non-coding RNA, 1186 nt
Organism: Camponotus floridanus (Florida carpenter ant)
Lineage: Eukaryota; Metazoa; Arthropoda; Insecta; Hymenoptera; Formicidae
Exons: 3
Source: RefSeq, a predicted model, not a curated record
GAUGGAUAUUACGUAAAUGAUUAUUACGACAAUUGUUGCGAUGCGACGCGAGCGAAUAAUUUGCGAGAGAUCGCGACGAUGGAUAUAUUCCGCGGAAGGGAAUAAGACUCGUAACGAUAUUAAAUAAUAAUGAAAAUAAAUAAAUAUCGUAGAGAAGUGUAUAUGUGGGUAUAUGUAUGCGUGCCCCAUGUAUGUGUGUGAGAAUCGAUGAAACAUACGAGUUUGUUCGUCCCUCCGUCAGAGGGUCCGUAUAGUUGGCAGCUUCGUUACACUUCCGGUGUACUUCCGCAUAGCGAGAGGACACGCGUGCACCUGCUCUCGCGGAAACGAUUUUUCUUGCGUAUCGCACCGUUUAUUUAGAAAGGGAAUAAAAAUGAAUCGUUACUCUUCUGGACAGAGACGCAUCAAUUGUACGCGCGAAGACCAUCAUCCUCAUCAUCAAGAAGAAGCAUCCGAACGGGUUACGUCAUCAAGCGUGAGAACCGUCCGCGAUCCUUCCAGGACUCCAGAAUAGGAUCCCUUCCUCCUUACGGCAAGAGGGCCGGCCGAUAGAAAUCGGCUCUGAGGAUAGGCGAGUGCGAACCGCUCGAGGGGCGAGGGAGGAGCGCCGCAGAAUGGUAUUUCCGUUGUGUUAUAUCGUCUGUCCAUUUGGCAGGCUUCAGGUUUGACCAGGAGCAUGCGCGCAACGUGCGUCCACCUACCCGCUCAUCUACCUGCCUACUAAUCUGUCUGCCUGUUUACCGGUUUGCCUUGAUCCCCUGAAUAAUCAGUAGGUGGGUUGCUAUGAAGACGUGGCGAUCGUCUACUUUUCCGCGAAACUAGCGAAGUAUCCUCCUGAAAUCCAGGUAUGGCACAUGAUGAGGCAAGACGAUGCGAUAUCGAGGCCAACGAGUAAAAUUAGAUAGCGAGGAUGGAAUCCGAGCGCCGGUAUGCGAAAUGGAAACGGAAACGGCUUCGGUCGUCUAUACGAAAGAUGGCCGCAAUGCGAUGCCGCGCAAGAAAAUGGCGCUUUAGCAUCCGCAAAUGGUCGGUUGCGCGUAUCUCACGCUCUCUCGCGUGACAGAACGAAAUAUAGCGCGCGCUAUAUUUUUCCCCCUUUUAUCGUCGAAUUAAAAUCAGAAAAUUUCAACCGUAAUCCAUUCUAACUGUAUUAUAAUCUAACGUGUGAUGUGUACGUACUUAUAUA